CCGGACUUACUGGGCGUAAAGCGUGCGUAGGCGGCGCGGACGUCGGCACUGAAAGCGCUCGGCUUAACCGAGCGAGGUGUGGCGAUACGUCCGUGCUCGAGGCAGGGAGAGGUUCGCAGAAUUCCGGGUGUAGUGGUGAAAUGCGUAGAUAUCCGGAGGAAUGCCAGUGGCGUAAGCGGCGAACUGGUCCUGCCCUGACGCUAAGGCACGAAAGCGUGGGGAGCGAACCGGAUUAGAUACCCGGGUAGUCCACGCAGUAAACGCUGUCGGCUCGGUGUGCGGUGGUAACUCAAGCACCACGGCGUGCCUACGCUCACGCGGGUAAGCCGACCGCCUGGGGACUACGAGCGCAAGCUUAACACUCAAAGGAAUUGACGGGGGCCCGCACAAGCAGCGGAGCGUGUGGGUUUAAUUCGACGCAACACGCAGAACCUUACCCAGGUUUVACAUGUGUCUGCAAGCGCACGGAAACCGUGUGACCUGCGAGGGURACACACAGGUGCUGCGUGGCUGUCGUCAGCUCGUGUCGUGAGAUGUUGGGUUAAGUCCCGCAACGAGCGCAACCCUCGCCGUCAGUUACAAGUGUCUGGCGGSACAGCCUCCAGUCGGAGGAGGAAGGCGGGGAUGACGUCAAGUCCGCAUGGCCCCUUACGCCUGGGGCGACACACACGCUACAAUGCGUACCACAAUGCGUUGCCACGACGCAAGUCGGCGCUAAUCGCCAAAGGUGCGCUCAGUGCAGAUCGGGGGCUGCAACUCGCCCCCGUGAAGGCGGAGUUGCUAGUAACCGCGUWUCAGCCAUGGCGCGGUGAAUACGUACCCC
This 823-nucleotide ribosomal RNA is filed under the name uncultured Chloroflexota bacterium. RNAcentral describes it as "bacterial SSU rRNA". It matches the Rfam family "Bacterial small subunit ribosomal RNA", at positions 545 to 1376 of the family's 1533-position model. Lineage: Bacteria; Bacillati; Chloroflexota. The record is from RNAcentral.